CCUGACGACUAUAGCGAUUCGGAACCACCUGAUCCCAUCCCGAACUCAGCAGUGAAACGAAUCAGCGCCGAUGGUAGUGUGGCUUUUGCUCAUGCGAGAGUAGGUCAUCGUCAGGC
This 116-nucleotide ribosomal RNA is filed under the name Alteromonadaceae bacterium. The record is from RNAcentral. RNAcentral also lists the same sequence under 3 other names. Lineage: Bacteria; Pseudomonadati; Pseudomonadota; Gammaproteobacteria; Alteromonadales; Alteromonadaceae.